Molecule: long non-coding RNA, 4254 nt
Organism: Betta splendens (Siamese fighting fish)
Lineage: Eukaryota; Metazoa; Chordata; Actinopteri; Anabantiformes; Osphronemidae
Exons: 14
Source: RefSeq, a predicted model, not a curated record
UUUAUCAAUAGCAGCCGAUUUUAGUCGUAUUUUCGAUGCAUUUCAGUUCAAAAUAGGCGUAAUACUAAACACACCACGGUGCCAUUGAUUUACCGCGGUGAAGUUGGUUUGACGUUGGACAUCAACAGACCUCCAGACAAGCGGUCCGUGUUCGAACAAGCGAUCCGCGUUUCGCGUUCGCUACGCGGACACAGAACGAGACCGCUCGGCACAUGAAAACGAUGGAUUACGGACAGUCAAUAAAUUAUUGGGAUUUUCAAGAAAUUAAUAAUUCAAUAGCGUCCAAACAAUGUGACCUACUCGUUCAAAACCUGCUCCAAAAUGUGUGUCUACAUGUCCUUCACAAGACACAACCAUUUAUGAGGAUAUAAAUAUGUUGCAUAUUUUUCAGUAAUAUUUUAGUAGUAAUUUUAGUCAUCUUGCAUAGUAUAAAUAUUACUGUAAUAUUUUAAUACCAUCCAAACCUAUUGGUUCAAAACCUGCUCCAAAGUCUGUCUCAUCUCACCAUCACAGUCUGGGCUUGCCUUAUGUGGGAUCUGUUUGGUUUAAUUGUGUCUUAAACCUUACUUUGUAAAGUGCCUUGAGAUAACUUUGUUGUGAUUUGGCCCUAUAUAAAUAAAAUAAAAUUGAAAAAAAAUGAAAAAAAUGACCUACUGGUCCAAAAUCUGCUCCAAAAUGUGUGUCUAAAUUUCUUGAUUAGGGCACAGCCAAUUUUAAAUAACAUUUCAAUAAUAUUUUAGUGUUAAUAUUACUUAAAUAUUCCAAUACCGUCCAAACCAUGUGACCUACUGGUUCAAAUCCUGCUCCAAAUCUCAUCUCACCAUCACAGUCUGGACUCUCUGACUUUGCUGCUUAUACAGUGGUAGCAAUUAAAAGUGUCGGCCUCCACCGUGGUUUGCUUAUGUGUCCACCGCGUCAUUUGACCCACUAAAUAACAUCGUCGUAUUAUUUAGUGCAUGGAUUGUCAAGACUACGAACCGGUGAUCGCCUGUGGCGGACGAUUAUAGUAUUUAGUAUAGUUAUGUACGUACACUGUCAGUUUUGGCAAAUUAAGAAGCUGCAUGCUUAGAACGGAGCGCGCUCCCGCAUGCAGCGUUCGAUUUGUGGCAGACAAGCUGCUACAAUUUAAAAAAGUGAACAAGGAUGAUCUAGACCAGGGGCCCGUUUCAAGAAGGAGGUUUAACAAACUCUGAGUUAAAACGAAACUCUGAGUUGAUUUACUCUGAGUUUGCAAACCUGGAGUUUUCGGUUCCAGAACAGCUGAAAAGAGUUGGUUUAAGCAACUCUGAGUUGACUGACUCAGAGUUAAGCGCGUGCACCGCGACGAUACAAAGCCCUGAUCAAUAGAGUGAAGAUAUUACGAGUCACCAUGGCAACAGGACAACAAAAGACGUCCGGAAAUGGAUAUGAUACGCCAAGCAUAUAACGACUACGAGCCUAUAAUCCGUGGAAAAAGCAACACGGCUGCAGCGGCGAAAGAGAAAGAAUUAGCUUGGAAGAAAAUAGCUCUUCGAGUCAAUGCCCAACAGAAAGAAGGCAGAGGCUAGAACAACUGGUGGAGGAGCUGCACCUCCACCUCUGACGCAUGCAGAGGAGAAGGCCCCUUAGCAUGAACACUGGAAAGCAAAGGCUGUAGGAAUUCAUCAGAACCUGUCACUCCCCAGGAUACAAGUGCAUGUGUAAAAUAUUCUGAUGGUAAUAUGUGAAUCUUCCUGUCACAACAGAAGCCCAGGAUGUUAGUGUGAAAGAACAGCAGGAGGAGGUCAGUCACAUUCUGCUGCACAGAUGCACACAGUCAGUGAUGUUCAGUAAAUGCCAGAGUUCAAUUCUGUAAGAGUAAUAAGGAACUAUUCCCAAACACAAGCUGGAGAUGAGUGUAUAGUUAAAGGUGAAUUGUAUGAAUUAUUGGAAGAAUCAUAAAAUCUAACAAUUGCCUUUGUAUUUGUAGGAAAUGAAAAAAAAAACAAAUAAAUUAUGGUUUGCAUCUAUUCAGUUUCUUUUAUUGGUGGUGGUGAUGGUUGAUUAAGACAUUAAAGCAAAUCACAUCUGACUGUCCAUCCACUCUGCAGAUUACCAUGAUGGAAUGAGUCUCCUCAGGGUCUUGUAUUUGUAGGGCAGGGUGUUGCUCCUCUCUAAUAAUUGCAAUAAUGUUGAGAACAACACAUGCCACAAUAAUGUCACAGGCCUCUCAUGUUUUACCCUGAGGUGACGUAGACACUGAAGAAGUGCUUUCAACAGGCCUAUGGUCAUUUUCACCCGGGCUCUUGUUCUGCAGGGCCACAUUAAAGUGCUGCUGGGGGCCUGCUUCAGGUUCUGGGUGAGGGGUCAGUAGUGUGGGCUGGCAUUAACCCCUAUCUCCAACAGAAAGCUGUCAAUCUCUCCUAGAAGAAAGUUUAGAUUACUUUAGUGCUGCAUAGAAGUGCUCCUGUGAGUGUGUAGUGCAUGCAUUGAAAUAAGUGUAUAGGACAUACAUGUACUUACCACAGUGCAACCUGUUACUUAGGGUUGACUCACUAUAUAUUCAUGAGUUCACGUUUAUGAUAUGUGCAGCAUCACAUAUGAUCUUGGUGAUGUAAACAAUGUGAUGUCAGUUACAGUGACCAGUAGAAAGAGUAGUUAGUCAGUGCACCUGCACAUUUAUCAGUUUAUUUUAGAUCACAGCAAGAUAUUAUUAACUGAUCAUUUUUCAGAUUAGCCUCAAUGAAACGAAUUAAAUACCAUAAAUAAAUAACUGCAAUCCUGUGAAACUCCUCUUUGAUGGCUUUAAGGAGUUUGUGUCAAGGAAAGCGCUUGAGAUCAAACUAUUCUACAAAUAGUGGCUUCACUAAUGUGCUCAGCAUCUCCAAUGUUAUAAAGAAAACUACCGUUUGCAAAAAAAACGUAACGCAACACAAAGAAUCUGUUCGGAUGUAAAAGCACGGCCUCGAUGGGUGAUGUGUUUGAUGAAUGGGUGAAUAAGAUUAUAAAUGUAUGUAUGGAGUCUCGAGAAAAACGGUACCGCUAAAAUAAAUAUGCACGGCGAUAUGACAGAAAAUUAACUGGCGUCAAAAUCCUCGCGCGGCGUAAUUUCAAUGCCGUGUGAAUUUACACAGCGUCCUCAUCUACAGGAUCCUCUAGAAACGGAAAUUUUGGUCUCUGUGCGACGGAAACAGACGGUCCGGGUCAUACACAAGGAAUCUCAGGUUUCGGUACAGAGGGAGCAGGCUGAAUCAGGUCCAGCGACAGGCAGAGUUUCGGCAACAGGAUGACAAGGUUUACAGUACCGGUAAGGAGCAGGCUAUCUCGGUGUCAGGCGGUCAGGUCGGUAUCACAAGAUCUUUUCAGGCGACAGUACCAUUCAGGAGUAGACGGGAAUCGGGAGUCAAGAAUACAAGGCAGGAUCGAGAAACAAACAGGCAGGACGAUGAAGCGCUGGAAGGUGAUGACUAGCAUACGACGAUCUGGCAACGGGCUAUGGGAACUGGUGGUGCUUAAGUAAGCAGUUGUGAGAGACGAGAUAGACGAACCACUGAACUCCUCACAGUAAGAACCAGUUUUCAUUUGGGGGAUGAUUAUAUCAACAGAUCAUAAUGUAAAGCAAAGUCAAGAUGGUACUUGGAUAGCAGAUGUUGACGUCACCAUUUAAAGAGAUGAUGAGGACCUCAGAAACACCAGAUCAAAGCAGGAAUUAACAGCUAACUGACCCGACUGAUGAAAGAAGUUGUAUGUUGAGUAGUGCAGGUCUGAAAGAAAAAAAGGACGAACAACUGAACUACUCCCAUUUCGCAGGUCAGCAAUUGGAUCUGUCUAGAUUUCCAACAAGCACUGGGAAAACAACUCAAGAUUUUCUAGUAUCAGUGUUGAACUAUGUGUCGACAAACAAAGGCCAAAUAAUUCCUCUAAAGAAACCAUCUGGUGCCAAACUGAGGAUAGAAGAUGUUGACGACACUGUUUACAGAGGUGAUAAGGACAAGAUGUAUGCAUGGAGAAACCUUUUCUGUCCUGUUCCCGUCCACAUGCAGUCCCAAGAAGCUACUUGAGGAGGGAUUAAGAUGGCCGGCAUACAAGAAAUAUGAAGUGGAUGCCUUCAGGCGCCGGUACGAGCAGGAAAGGGCUAAAAGGAUGCAGAGUCCUUUAAGGAAGAAGCUGGAAUUGACAUCUGACUCGACUGAUGAAAGAAGUUGUAUGUUGAGUGGUGCAGAGACAAAGCUGCGAUUCACCAGAAGAUUAGGAUACACAGAAUUCUUGUCUAUUCCACAGGACACUGUUUCCUCU